UACAGCUCGUUGAGUGCGGUCUUAGUGCCAGCAUCGGUUUUAUGGUGAUAAAUAGAUGGCUACGAAUAAUAUAGAUGAGAACUCUCUUCGUUGACAGUGUGGUCUACAGCUUAUCAUGGGGUAUUCUACCUCAGCCGAGCUAUACCUCGAGACUUCUUUAAUAUUAUACAUCGCCACCAGCAGUUAUUGACAAAUAGACACACACACCCGCCCCUCAUCUUACCAGACGUAGCCACAUAUAAGGGCAAAAGGCGAGACCCAGAUGCAGACACAGGAGGCAGAUGGUUCGAGUCUGUCGUUUAUUUAUAAUCUAAAAGGAGUAGGCAAGAGAAUGGUCGUAGACAGGCAAAAGGUCAAAACCAGAUUCUGAGACCAAAAGGUAAAGAGUGGCAGACAGGCUCGAUGUCAGGGCAGGCAGAAGGGUCAGGCAGGUGGGUACGGAGUCCAGAAAAACAGGCAAUGGUCAAAACCGGGAAGACUAGAAAAAGAGAAUAUAAAACAGGAGCAUGGGAAAAACACGCUGGCUGUCUUGAAAACAUACAAGACGAACUGGCACAGAGAGACAGGAAACGCAGGGAUAAAUACACUGGGGAAAAUAAGCGACACCUGGAGGGGGUGGAGACAAUCACAAGAACAGGUGAAACAGAUCAGGGCGUGACACUGCAUGUCCUGCUGAUACAUGGAGAAGUUAGCCAGCGCUAUAUUAUCCGUGUCGUCGUUCAGCCAAGUCUCGUGGCUGAACGACGAUAUUAAGAACAUACAGCUGAAGGGUUAUACACUCUAUCGGUAGAACUGCAGCCUCUGAGUGAAUACACAUGUCCCCGUCCACUACCUGGAGCUUGGCUUGGAGACAUACCCACCAUUCACUAGGAGACAUGUACGUUUUACCAGCCAGUUGCUAACAAGAAGAGGAAUCAGGGCCUACAACACUAUGGCUACCCCAUUACUGUCUGUCCUAACAUUACGGUGGCACUCUCUAAACAUCUGCUACAGACAUAUGUCAAACUAUACCUCAAAAGGCCCAUGGACAACCUAAUUUGGAAGCAAGAAUGACUUUCAUGAUUUCUACCACUCUGAAUAUUUAUGUUUUCUUUUACAAGGUCUAUAUACUCUUUCUGUAUCUUAGGUUCUCAGCUGCCCUACAGCAGUGUUCAUCCAACUAUGACUAAGGUUGCUGUUAAAGCAUUGGCCAUGUUAACUCUUUGAUUGGCCAAUUAGGCUGGUCCAGAUUGAGGGGGUUUGGAACACUUCACGUCUGCAGCACCUCUCUGACCGUUGGCAUGGAAACUUGGGACUCUGAUGGGGCGGCCUGUGCCACGAUGGGCGGUGUCACUCUGCUGGAGGCUGGCGAAGUGAAAAUGGGCUGUGGAGCAUAUGGACCAUUACAGUUAAUGAAGGUGACUAGUGGACAGGGCGAUGGCCGUCCAGACGCAGAUUGUCCCUUCUUUCCCGGCUAGGAACCACAGGCUUCACAGUGAAGUGUCAGCCCAGCAACGUUUUGAUGAUGUGCACUGAACAAGUAGCUCUGACUGCCUAGCAAAAUUAUAAUGUGCAAACUGCUGUGUGUAAUUUAAAAUACAUGUCCAUGGUUUUUCUUUGCUG
RNAcentral lists this long non-coding RNA (1602 nucleotides) under Salmo salar (Atlantic salmon). Its description in RNAcentral is "lncRNA (ENSSSAG00000103009.1)". The record is from RNAcentral. Lineage: Eukaryota; Metazoa; Chordata; Actinopteri; Salmoniformes; Salmonidae.